This 72-nucleotide transfer RNA is filed under the name Pangasius djambal. RNAcentral describes it as "tRNA-Glu". Lineage: Eukaryota; Metazoa; Chordata; Actinopteri; Siluriformes; Pangasiidae. The record is from RNAcentral.
UCCCUGGAGGAUUAGUGGUUAGGCCACAGUGCUCUCGCUGCCAAGGCCCGGGUUCGAUUACCGGCCAGGGAA